RNAcentral lists this ribosomal RNA (253 nucleotides) under uncultured bacterium. RNAcentral describes it as "partial 16S ribosomal RNA". It matches the Rfam family "Bacterial small subunit ribosomal RNA", at positions 524 to 776 of the family's 1533-position model. The record is from RNAcentral.
UACGUAGGACCCGAGCGUUAUCCGGAUUCACUGGGUGUAAAGGGUGUGUAGGCGGGCGUGCUCGUCCGGGGUGAAAGGUUCCCGCUCAACCGGAAACUUGCCUUGGAUUCGGCACGUCUUGGGUGCGGGAGAGGACGGUGGAAUUCCUGGAGUAGCGGUGAAAUGCGUAGAUAUCAGGAGGAACACCAGUGGCGAAGGCGGCCGUCUGGCCCGCAACCGACGCUGAAACACGAAAGCGUGGGGAGCAAACCGG